UUAGUACUUUUAGUGUUUUAUGUAGGGUAGUUAGUUUUAUGUAGGUAGAAUUCUGUUUUUGUAA
This 64-nucleotide transfer RNA is filed under the name Echinostoma revolutum. RNAcentral's name for it is "tRNA-Thr". The record is from RNAcentral. Lineage: Eukaryota; Metazoa; Platyhelminthes; Trematoda; Plagiorchiida; Echinostomatidae.